Molecule: ribosomal RNA, 117 nt
Organism: Danio rerio (zebrafish)
Lineage: Eukaryota; Metazoa; Chordata; Actinopteri; Cypriniformes; Danionidae
Source: Ensembl
AGUCACAGCCAUAUCACCCUGCGUCCCAAAAUCGGUUACUCACUGAAGCUAAGCAGGGCUGAGCCUGGUCAGUACCUGGAUGGGAGACCACAUGGGAAAACUCGAUUGCUGUUGGUA